UACGGAGGGUGCAAGCGUUAAUCGGAAUUAUUGGGCGUAAAGGGCGCGUAGGCGGUCAGGAAAGUCUGGGGUGAAAUACCGUGGCUCAACCACGGUGCGGCAACGGAAACUAUCUGACUAGAGGGUAGGCGGAGAAAACGGAAUUCCAAGUGUAGCGGUGAAAUGCGUAGAUAUUUGGAAGAACACCGGUGGCGAAAGCGGUUUUCUAGCUUAUUCCUGACGCUGAGGCGCGAGAGCAAGGGGAGCAAACAGG
RNAcentral lists this ribosomal RNA (253 nucleotides) under uncultured bacterium. RNAcentral's name for it is "partial 16S ribosomal RNA". It matches the Rfam family "Bacterial small subunit ribosomal RNA", at positions 524 to 776 of the family's 1533-position model. The record is from RNAcentral.